GUGGGAGUCACCUGGUUGGGCCAUUGUAGCAGCGGCAGCAGUGAAGAAGAUAGAGUAUAUCCCGCCAGAGGAGCCGCCCAUGUCAGUGGCGGCUAUUUCUGCCAGCACGGACAGAACACGGGCUGGCUGAUUCAGUGGAAGGUGGAUCCACAGUCCCCGUCCCCACACUCCGCGUCCAAAGCGUUCAGAUCCUGCUCGUGUUGCGGCAUCUUGGCCACCACAGCCUCCAAACACUGGCGCACUGCUUGCACGUGGCCCUCCUCCCUCAGUGUGUAGAUGUUCUCCUGCCGAGAUGAGGACAUGUUGUGUAGUAUGUAUAUCUCGGAGAAUAAAAAAAUAAAAGGAUAAAUUUGUGAUGAAAACCAUUAAAA
Long non-coding RNA from Portunus trituberculatus (swimming crab), 371 nucleotides. RefSeq lists it as uncharacterized. The record is from RefSeq and is a predicted model, not a curated record. NCBI's taxonomy places the organism in Eukaryota, Metazoa, Arthropoda, Malacostraca, Decapoda, Portunidae. The transcript has 2 exons.